Molecule: ribosomal RNA, 253 nt
Filed under: uncultured bacterium
Lineage: Bacteria
Description: partial 16S ribosomal RNA
Rfam family: Bacterial small subunit ribosomal RNA
Source: RNAcentral
UACGUAGGGGGCAAGCGUUGUCCGGAUUUAUUGGGCGUAAAGAGCGUGUAGGCGGCUUGGAGGGUCGGCUGUGAAAACUCGAGGCUCAACCUCGAGAGGUCGGUGGAAACCGUCUGGCUAGAGUCCGGAAGAGGAGAGUGGAAUUCCCGGUGUAGCGGUGAAAUGCGCAGAUAUCGGGAAGAACACCAGUGGCGAAGGCGACUACCUGGCCUGUUCUUGACGCUGAGGCGCGAAAGCUAGGGGAGCAAACGGG